RNAcentral lists this ribosomal RNA (779 nucleotides) under uncultured Neocallimastigales. Its description in RNAcentral is "partial large subunit ribosomal RNA". It matches the Rfam family "Eukaryotic large subunit ribosomal RNA", at positions 26 to 618 of the family's 3401-position model. Lineage: Eukaryota; Fungi; Neocallimastigomycota; Neocallimastigomycetes; Neocallimastigales. The record is from RNAcentral.
CGUCUAUAUACGUAUAGCAUAUCAAUAAGCGGAGGAAAAGAAACUAACAAGGAUUCCCUUAGUAACGGCGAGUGAAGCGGGAAGAGCUCAAAUUUGAAAUCUUCAAGGUUUUACCUUGACGAAUUGUAGUUUAAAGAAGUGUUUUCUGUUAGAGUUUGAGUAGCAAAGUUCUUUGGAAUAGGGACAUCAUAGAGGGUGAGAAUCCCGUAUUUGACCAUUAUUUUCUAGCUGUGUGAUACACUUUCAAAGAGUCGGAUUGUUUGGGAAUGCAGUCCAAAAUGGGUGGUAAAUUUCAUCUAAAGCUAAAUAUUGGCGAGAGACCGAUAGCGAACAAGUACCGUGAGGGAAAGAUGAAAAGAACUUUGAAAAGAGAGUUAAACAGUACGUGAAAUUGUCAAAAGGGAAGCGUUUGACACCAGUGUUGUUUUUCCGAAAAUCAAUUAAGAGUGGCUUGAUUUUGUGUUGUAUUGACCUUAUCAGCUUUCUUCACUCUUUUUCGAGUCUUUCUUAAUGCACUUUUCGGUUAACAAGUCAACAUCAAUUUCUUUUGUUGUAAAAGGGUAUUUGGAAGGUGGCUUUCUUUUCGGAGAAAGUGUUUAUAGCCUUAUACCUCUACAAUCGGAGAGAUUGAGGUCUGCAGCGUAGAUCCUUCGGGGCUAGAUACACUUGUGCUAAGUUAUAGCUUUUCAUAGACAACUUGUUGACUAUGUUUAGUCAUGUAGCUUACCCGCUUGUGCUAUUUUACCUACGCUUAGGAUGUUGAGUCAUCACACAUCUCU